Mauremys reevesii (Reeves's turtle) is the source of this 899-nucleotide long non-coding RNA. RefSeq lists it as uncharacterized. NCBI's taxonomy places the organism in Eukaryota, Metazoa, Chordata, Testudines, Geoemydidae. The transcript has 6 exons. The record is from RefSeq and is a predicted model, not a curated record.
AGUCUUGUCAAGGUCCCCUGGAGUUCUGUUGGGGGUUGUCUUAGACUGGGUGUUGUUGGGUUUUGUUUGUUUGUUUGUUUUUUUGGAGCUUGAAGCCUCAAGAAGCAGCAGGCUGAAGCUGAAGAAUGGAAGCUGCUUGAAAAGAAGACUGGAACAACCUAGAAAGCAGCUACCUGAAAAAGCAGCAGCAGUAGAAUUCCGAGGUUGCCUUGGCACCAAGGAGCUACCUUGCCAGCAGCAACAGGAGAGCAGUAACCGCCACUGCAUCCGCGGCAGAAGAGCAACAGCGCAACUGUGGCAGCCACUCUCUGGGAUCGGACAGUACAGAAGGACCAAUAGAGGAACUGGAGGAAAAUUUAAAUAAGGAGCGAAAAAUCCCAGUCUAUGUGGACCCGACCUGAACCAGACUGGCCAGCACCAUCUGUGAUUUGGGGGGCAUGUGAUAAAUGAAGGAUCAACCAUGCUAUCCCACUGAUGAUAAUAAUCCCUACGAUCAAUCCAGUGGUGGCAUACAAUGGCAUGGAAGCAGAGGCUAAAGAGAGGACCAGGAGCAUUUGUUUGGUCCGUUGAUUACUUUGGGCUGUUGAUUACUGCAGCUGAUUACUUGGAAUUGUUGCAGAGAUUCUUCAGUUUCAUACCAAACUGUUUCCUUCUUCCCAUCAGCCACUGUUCCAUUGCACCAGGUGGCCAACUGGGUGUUACAAAGUGGAAUAAAAGAGUCUUUUUUGCCAUUAGAGAGCAUUGGAAAUCAAAGCUGUAAAGAUUUAAGAAACCUACAGUGUUUUCCUUAAGAGCCAAGGAAAACUGAUCAAUUUUCUGUAAAAGCUCUUUUUUAAUCCAUUCAUGUUCCUGUUCCAACCAGCUGUGGGCAGACAAUAUCUGGCUGCUGAGUUCCUCUA